This 227-nucleotide long non-coding RNA is filed under the name Vigna radiata. RNAcentral describes it as "long non-coding RNA (VRAD_LNC013411)". Lineage: Eukaryota; Viridiplantae; Streptophyta; Magnoliopsida; Fabales; Fabaceae. The record is from RNAcentral.
GGAGAAAGAGAGAGAGAGCUACAAAAAAUCUUAGUGCAAAGGAAGAUUGAUGGUGUUUUGGGGUUGUAGAUAAAGCCCUAACAUUGGCCAAGGUAUAUGGAAACUUACCAUUGUUUGUUUUCUUAUUUAUUUAUAUGAUGAAUAUGAUUUGCUUUUGAUUAUCUUGGAAGGCCAUGUUGUUCUUAUGCAUGGGGAUGUAUGAGAAUAUGUUUUGCAUGGUGAUAGGG